CAGUGGAAUGCAUGCAAUGGAAUGAGCUUUACAGAAUUUAUAUAAGGUCUUCAAGAUGUGAUCCAAUGAGGUGCUUGCAACAGGAAGGUUUUCCCAGAGGCAUGGGUUGAAGGUAGCACAGUAUACCUUUUCUGAACCACUGACAGGGGGUGUCGCAACAGGAAUCAAUAAGACAACUUUUGCUUUACUGCCACACAGGAACAAUGGUAUGGCAUGGGGACACCAGGGAUUGAUAAGGUAAAUCUGCCGGUGGCUCUCCAAUGGAUCCUGAUCACCUCCUAUCACAUUACCACUUUUGUCUUGUGCUGCCUUUGUCCAUGGAUCAUAACAACUCAAAUAGACAAGUCUCUGUAUCUCACAAGAUCCUCCUAGUGGUAUAACUGAAAAAUGGAAGUGUUUAGGAAGCACAUCAGCCAUGAAGAAGAGACCAUGUAAAGUUACAGUGGGUCGCCAAAUCCUGAGGUCUAUA
Hyla sarda is the source of this 469-nucleotide long non-coding RNA. RefSeq lists it as uncharacterized. The transcript is spliced from 3 exons. NCBI's taxonomy places the organism in Eukaryota, Metazoa, Chordata, Amphibia, Anura, Hylidae. The record is from RefSeq and is a predicted model, not a curated record.